GGUAUCAAGUGAUGAAAACGUGAAACUAUCUUAUGACACCUUCUGAUAGUGUUUGUAUCCUAUGAAUUAAAAUCCAUUUAUUUCCCGAUGAUGCU
This is a small nucleolar RNA of Lolium perenne, 95 nucleotides long. RefSeq annotates it as small nucleolar RNA snoR31/Z110/Z27. Lineage: Eukaryota; Viridiplantae; Streptophyta; Magnoliopsida; Poales; Poaceae. The record is from RefSeq and is a predicted model, not a curated record.